Gopherus evgoodei (Goodes thornscrub tortoise) is the source of this 454-nucleotide long non-coding RNA. RefSeq lists it as uncharacterized. The transcript has 4 exons. The record is from RefSeq and is a predicted model, not a curated record. NCBI's taxonomy places the organism in Eukaryota, Metazoa, Chordata, Testudines, Testudinidae.
AUCCUGAAGGAAUGAAUAAAGCAGGCAGACUGAACCUGGGUAGAUAUGCUGUCAACUUUUCAUUGGAAGAGGGGAGAUUGUUCCAUUCAGCAAAAGGAAGAAAGGUUGUCGUUGUGCAUACCAUGAAAGAAGCCCUGCAACUCUUUAAAAGGUAUCAUGACAGUCCAGAGGGUGGACAUCUAGGAAUAUUCAAAACCAGGAAUGCGCUGACAUCAAAAUACUAUUGGCCAGGGAUGACAAAAGACAUUGCCAAUUGGGUUGCACAGUGUCUGACUUGCCAGAAAGAGGGAAAGCAAUCAAAUCUGGAUACCACCUUGAAAAGCAUAAAGGUCACUCGGAUCUGGGAAUUGGUGGGAAUGGAUUUAAUAGGACCGUUACCAGUAACAAAGGAUGGAUACCAGUAUAUACUUACAGCCAUAGAUUAUCUUUCAAGAUGGGUGGAAGCCUUUCCACU